This 728-nucleotide long non-coding RNA is filed under the name Malus domestica (apple). RNAcentral's name for it is "long non-coding RNA (MDOM_LNC011539)". Lineage: Eukaryota; Viridiplantae; Streptophyta; Magnoliopsida; Rosales; Rosaceae. The record is from RNAcentral.
GGUCACCUACGAGCCAGAACCACCUAUAAUGGUCUGUACUAGAGGACUGGGUGUAAAUAAAUACGCUAUAGCACUACGAUCACGUGAAGAUUGUGCGAAUAAUCACGGGUCACCUACGAGUCGGAACCACCUAUAGUAGUCUGUACGACAAGACUGUGCACCUAACUUGGAUCUAAGGUGAGCGUAUGGCGCAGGAGGUGAACAUCACGUGAAGGACUGUGCCCUAACCACAGGCGGGAGCACUAACACCGGGGUGCAGGUUUAUGAGCUCUCAACACAUCUCACAUAAUCAUCAAUUCACAUAAACAAUCUACAUCCCACAUGUACCUACUUGAGCGUCCACAGGGUCGAACAUAGAUAUAUGCAAUUACUAUACUAAUUCACAGUCUAAGCAUAAAUCAAUAGGCAUGGCAUUUCAAAACAUAAUUUCAUUUAAACAUAAUUUCUAGGAAAAAUACCAAGUAUAUAAGUAUAUACUAAAAACCAAAAGCCCACUCACUGAUAUGUGGAAGGGUCGUAACCCCUGAGCCUUGCUUGACUACGCUCGUCCUCAGGAUAGGUCUCACCUAUAUGCGAAAUAACUAUUUAAACGUUAUUUUAAAGCACAUACACAAAACUAGGUAAUAACUUCUCAUACAUUGCUCAAUUGGGGUAUUUGAAUAUACCACCAUGACCUACUCAACCUUAGGAACAUCCCCAUAUUUUUAGAAAAAAUUUCCGAGCACUCA